AGACCCGAAACCCGGUGAUCUAGCCAUGGGCAGGUUGAAGGUUGGGUAACACUAACUGGAGGACCGAACCGACUAAUGUUGAAAAAUUAGCGGAUGACCUGUGGCUGGGGGUGAAAGGCCAAUCAAACCGGGAGAUAGCUGGUUCUCCCCGAAAGCUAUUUAGGUAGCGCCUCGUGAAUUCAUCUCCGGGGGUAGAGCACUGUUUCGGCUAGGGGGCCAUCCCGGCUUACCAACCCGAUGCAAACUGCGAAUACCGGAGAAUGUUAUCACGGGAGACACACGGCGGGUGCUAACGUCCGUCGUGAAGAGGGAAACAACCCAGACCGCCAGCUAAGGUCCCAAAGUCAUGGUUAAGUGGGAAACGAUGUGGGAAGGCCCAGACAGCCAGGAUGUUGGCUUAGAAGCAGCCAUCAUUUAAAGAAAGCGUAAUAGCUCACUGGUCGAGUCGGCCUGCGCGGAAGAUGUAACGGGGCUAAACCAUGCACCGAAGCUGCGGCAGCGACACUGUGUGUUGUUGGGUAGGGGAGCGUUCUGUAAGCCUGUGAAGGUGUGUCGUGAGGCAUGCUGGAGGUAUCAGAAGUGCGAAUGCUGACAUAAGUAACGAUAAAGCGGGUGAAAAGCCCGCUCGCCGGAAGACCAAGGGUUCCUGUCCAACGUUAAUCGGGGCAGGGUGAGUCGACCCCUAAGGCGAGGCCGAAAGGCGUAGUCGAUGGGAAACGGGUUAAUAUUCCCGUACUUGGUGUUACUGCGAAGGGGGGACGGAGAAGGCUAUGUUGGCCGGGCGACGGUUGUCCCGGUUUAAGCGUGUAGGUGUGUGUUCCAGGUAAAUCCGGUUCACUUUAACACUGAGGCGUGACGACGAGGCACUACGGUGCUGAAGCAACAAAUGCCCUGCUUCCAGGAAAAGCCUCUAAGCAUCAGGUAACAUCAAAUCGUACCCCAAACCGACACAGGUGGUCAGGUAGAGAAUACCAAGGCGCUUGAGAGAACUCGGGUGAAGGAACUAGGCAAAAUGGUGCCGUAACUUCGGGAGAAGGCACGCUGACACGUAGGUGAAGUGAUUUACUCAUGGAGCUGAAGUCAGUCGAAGAUACCAGCUGGCUGCAACUGUUUAUUAAAAACACAGCACUGUGCAAACACGAAAGUGGACGUAUACGGUGUGACGCCUGCCCGGUGCCGGAAGGUUAAUUGAUGGGGUCAGCGCAAGCGAAGCUCCUGAUCGAAGCCCCGGUAAACGGCGGCCGUAACUAUAACGGUCCUAAGGUAGCGAAAUUCCUUGUCGGGUAAGUUCCGACCUGCACGAAUGGCGUAAUGAUGGCCAGGCUGUCUCCACCCGAGACUCAGUGAAAUUGAACUCGCUGUGAAGAUGCAGUGUACCCGCGGCAAGACGGAAAGACCCCGUGAACCUUUACUAUAGCUUGACACUGAACAUUGAGCCUUGAUGUGUAGGAUAGGUGGGAGGCUUUGAAGCGUGGACGCCAGUCUGCGUGGAGCCGACCUUGAAAUACCACCCUUUAAUGUUUGAUGUUCUAACGUGGACCCGUAAUCCGGGUUGCGGACAGUGUCUGGUGGGUAGUUUGACUGGGGCGGUCUCCUCCUAAAGAGUAACGGAGGAGCACGAAGGUUGGCUAAUCCUGGUCGGACAUCAGGAGGUUAGUGCAAUGGCAUAAGCCAGCUUGACUGCGAGCGUGACGGCGCGAGCAGGUGCGAAAGCAGGUCAUAGUGAUCCGGUGGUUCUGAAUGGAAGGGCCAUCGCUCAACGGAUAAAAGGUACUCCGGGGAUAACAGGCUGAUACCGCCCAAGAGUUCAUAUCGACGGCGGUGUUUGGCACCUCGAUGUCGGCUCAUCACAUCCUGGGGCUGAAGUAGGUCCCAAGGGUAUGGCUGUUCGCCAUUUAAAGUGGUACGCGAGCUGGGUUUAGAACGUCGUGAGACAGUUCGGUCCCUAUCUGCCGUGGGCGCUGGAGAACUGAGGGGGGCUGCUCCUAGUACGAGAGGACCGGAGUGGACGCAUCACUGGUGUUCGGGUUGUCAUGCCAAUGGCACUGCCCGGUAGCUAAAUGCGGAAGAGAUAAGUGCUGAAAGCAUCUAAGCACGAAACUUGCCCCGAG
RNAcentral lists this ribosomal RNA (2111 nucleotides) under Salmonella enterica subsp. enterica serovar Heidelberg. RNAcentral describes it as "partial 23S ribosomal RNA". It matches the Rfam family "Bacterial large subunit ribosomal RNA", at positions 711 to 2803 of the family's 2925-position model. Lineage: Bacteria; Pseudomonadati; Pseudomonadota; Gammaproteobacteria; Enterobacterales; Enterobacteriaceae. The record is from RNAcentral.